GACGAACGCUGGCGGCGUGCUUAACACAUGCAAGUCGAACGGAAAGGCCCUGCUUUUGUGGGGUGCUCGAGUGGCGAACGGGUGAGUAACACGUGAGUAACCUGCCCUUGACUUUGGGAUAACUUCAGGAAACUGGGGCUAAUACCGGAUAGGAGCUCCUGCUGCAUGGUGGGGGUUGGAAAGUUUCGGCGGUUGGGGGUGGACUCGCGGCUUAUCAGCUUGUUGGUGGGGUAGUGGCUUACCAAGGCUUUGACGGGUAGCCGGCCUGAGAGGGUGACCGGCCACAUUGGGACUGAGAGACGGCCCAGACUCCUACGGGAGGCAGCAGUGGGGAAUAUUGCACAAUGGGCGGAAGCCUGAUGCGGCAACGCCGCGUGCGGGAUGACGGCCUUCGGGUUGUAAACCGCUUUCGCCUGUGACGAAGCGGGAGUGACGGUAAUGGGUAAAGAAGCACCGGCUAACUACGUG
Molecule: ribosomal RNA, 468 nt
Filed under: uncultured bacterium
Lineage: Bacteria
Description: partial 16S ribosomal RNA
Rfam family: Bacterial small subunit ribosomal RNA
Source: RNAcentral